RNAcentral lists this ribosomal RNA (621 nucleotides) under Hepatozoon canis. Its description in RNAcentral is "bacterial SSU rRNA". It matches the Rfam family "Eukaryotic small subunit ribosomal RNA", at positions 186 to 796 of the family's 1831-position model. Lineage: Eukaryota; Apicomplexa; Hepatozoidae. The record is from RNAcentral.
ACUUUAUUAGAAGAGACGCAUUUAUUAGAUAAAAAGCCAGUUCAUGCUUUUACAGUAUGAAAAUUGGUGAUUUAUAAUAACUUAGCAAAUCGCAAAGUGAAAACAGGCGAUAAAUCAUUCAAGUUUCUGACCUAUCAGCUUUCGACGGUAUGGUAUUGGCUUACCGUGGCAGUGACGGUUAACGGGGGAUUAGGGUUCGAUUCCGGAGAGGGAGCCUGAGAAACGGCUACCACAUCUAAGGAAGGCAGCAGGCGCGCAAAUUACCCAAUUCUAACAGUUUGAGAGAGGUAGUAACAAGAAAUAACAAUACAAGGCAGUUAAAAUGCUUUGUAAUUGGAAUGAUAGAAAUUUAAACCCUUUUUAAAGUAUCAAUUGGAGGGCAAGUCUGGUGCCAGCAGCCGCGGUAAUUCCAGCUCCAAUAGCGUAUAUUAAAAUUGUUGCAGUUAAAAAGCUCGUAGUUGAAGUUCUGCUGAAAGUAACCGGUCUGCUUUUAAUAAAAGUGGUAUCUUGGUAUGUAUUUAGCAAUGAUGUCCUUUGAAGUGUUUUUUACUUUAUUGUAAUAAAGCAUAUUCAGGACUUUUACUUUGAGAAAAUUAGAGUGUUUCUAGCAGGCUGACGCUU